UAAUAUUUAUGCAGAGGUGACCUAAAGCCUUGUGCAUGGGAGGAAAAUCUAGAGGGUGACAACCGAGGAUAUAUGGCUAUCAGCCUAGAACGAGAGAGAACCACCUGACCAGUACCUGGAAUGAAACAUGCAUGCUGGAUGUCAUGCAUUAUGUUCUGAUGGAUUGUACUGAUGAACCCUGUACUUACGCCAUGUGAAUACACAGAGACAAAUAAGAAAAACAUCAUGUGAAAAUAGAGAUUGGAGUGAUGGGUGUCUCCUCGCCAAGAAAUGCCAAGUAACCACCAGAAGCAAGAAGAGAGGCAUAGAGAGUAGAUUCUCCCUCAGAACCUCCUGAGGGCAUCAAACUGCCAACACCUUGAUUUUGGACUUCAGCCUCCAGAAUUGUGAGAGAAUACAUUUCUGUUGUUUUAAGCCACCCAGUUUGUGGUACAGAGGGAAGAAAUUCUGACCCCAGGUCAGCCUCUGAAGCAUUCAUUGGACUUGGCUAUGCUGAAUCUAAGCUACGCUGACAAGGAUCUCUUAGUAUACAGAGCAGACAUCAAAUUUAACCGCAGAGACAUUUUACUUAGGAGAUCAACUAAGCAACUCCAUGAUUUAUAUCACUGAAAAAAAAAAAAACAGUGGCUAUUAAUUAGAAGCUCCCUAAGCUUUCUAUACCUCAUCUAUUCUUUGAAGAGACUGCCAAUGAUAAUAUAUCAAGUUAUUUUAA
Neogale vison (American mink) is the source of this 712-nucleotide long non-coding RNA. RefSeq lists it as uncharacterized. The record is from RefSeq and is a predicted model, not a curated record. Lineage: Eukaryota; Metazoa; Chordata; Mammalia; Carnivora; Mustelidae. The transcript is spliced from 4 exons.